Molecule: ribosomal RNA, 124 nt
Filed under: Pteropus alecto (black flying fox)
Lineage: Eukaryota; Metazoa; Chordata; Mammalia; Chiroptera; Pteropodidae
Source: RNAcentral
GUCUAUGGCAAUGCUACCCUGAACAAGCCCGAUCCCAUCCCAUCUGAUCUCGGAAGCUAAGGAGGGUCGGGCCUGGUUAGUACUUAGAUGGGAGACCCCCUAGGAAGACCAGGUGCUGUAGGUG